GGAGGUAGUGACAAUAAAUCACAAUGCGGAACUUUUAGUUUUGCAAUUGGAUUGAGAACAAUGUACAAAUGUUAUCGAUAAACAAUUGGAGGGCAAGUCUGGUGCCAGCAGCCGCGGUAAUUCCAGCUCCAAUAGCGUAUAUUGACGUUGUUGCAGUUAAAAAGCUCGUAGUUGAAAUGUGGGAUGAAGUAUAUAAUGAAUUUCUAAUUCAAUUCUAUAUUGAUUCCCCUCUCCAAUUUAUUAUUAUGGGUAUUAAUUUAUUUGUAAUAAGAAUUGGUCAUUUACUGUGAGAAAAUUAGAGUGUUCAAAGCAGGCAUUUGCUUGAAUAGAUUAGCAUGGAAUAAUACUAAAAGGCUUUUAUGGUCGAUUUAAUUGGUUUGUUCAUAAAAGCAAGAUUAAAAGGAACAGUUGGGGGUAUUCAUAUUCAAUAGUUAGAGGUGAAAUUCUCGGAUUUAUGGAAGAUGAACAAGUGCGAAAGCA
Molecule: ribosomal RNA, 480 nt
Filed under: Blastocystis sp.
Lineage: Eukaryota; Bigyra; Opalinata; Blastocystidae
Description: SSU rRNA
Rfam family: Eukaryotic small subunit ribosomal RNA
Source: RNAcentral